RNAcentral lists this long non-coding RNA (1082 nucleotides) under Aotus nancymaae (Ma's night monkey). RNAcentral describes it as "lncRNA (ENSANAG00000039392.1)". The record is from RNAcentral. Lineage: Eukaryota; Metazoa; Chordata; Mammalia; Primates; Aotidae.
GACUAACCCUUCCAGUUCUGGAAAUACAGAUGCACUCAUAAUUUCUGUACCCUUAUAUUUUAUAGCUGAUUAUGUUGCAGUCACCUUUGAGAGAAACAGAACCCUAAGUGAGGAAUGAAAAGUCCUCCAAGUGUGAUAACAUUUCUUGUUGACCAAGAGCAUCAUACUGGAGUUUACCUCUUCUAUAACCGGGGCUAUAAAACUCCUCUGGAGAAGGAAUUUGGGACAAGUUUUAUUUGCAUUCUUUCUUCUGGGAGUAGAUUUGCCACAAAGAAGAAUUUCUGUCAGCCUCAUUUCCCAGAAGUUCCUGCUUUUUGUGAGACACAAGAAGCUCCAAGGUUUCUUCCCUGCAUCUGUUGAACGUCCACAGUCUUCAGCUUAAAUUUAUCUUUAUGUAAGAAUGGCAUUUUUUAAAUUUUGAGACAGGAUCUCACUAUAUUACCCAGGCUGGAGUGCAGUGGGAUGAUCUCAGCUCACUGUAACCUCUGCCUCCCAGGUUCAAGAAAUUCUCCUGCCUCAGCCUCCCAGGUAGCUGGGAUUACAGGUGUGUGCUACCACACUGGCUAAUUUUUGUAUUUUUAGUAGAGACAGGGUUUUGCCAUGUUGCCCAGGCUGGUCUUGAACUCCUGGUCUCAAGUGAUCCACCCACUUCAGCCUCCCAAAGUGCUGAGAUUACAGGUGUAAGCCACCAUGCCUAGCCAAAAGUGGCAUAUUUUGAGGUGUCAUAUCUCUUUUUUUUUUUUUUUUUGCUUUUGAGACAGGGUCUCACUCUGUCACUCAGGUUGGAGUGCAGUGGUGUGAUCAUAGCUCACCACAGACUAACUCCUGGCUCAAGUGAUCCUCUGCCUCAGCCUGAUGUGUAGCUGGGACUACAGGUGCAUGUCAUCAUGCCUGGCUAAUUUUUAAUUUUUUUAUAUACAGUUAGGUCUCACUUUGUUGACCAGGCUGGUCUCAAAUUCCUAGGCUCAAGCAAUCCUCUCGCAUAGGCCUCCCAAAGUGCUGAGAUUACAAGCCACUUUUAUAUAAAGAUAAUUUUAAGCUGAAGACUGCGCCUGGCCUGAUGUAUCAUAUUCUGAUCCCCU